CUUCCCGUAGGGGUUGACCUGCGGAGGGAUCAUUG
Molecule: ribosomal RNA, 35 nt
Filed under: Cytospora sp. 37 NC14
Lineage: Eukaryota; Fungi; Ascomycota; Sordariomycetes; Diaporthales; Cytosporaceae
Description: partial 18S ribosomal RNA
Source: RNAcentral